Acanthopagrus latus (yellowfin seabream) is the source of this 943-nucleotide long non-coding RNA. RefSeq lists it as uncharacterized. NCBI's taxonomy places the organism in Eukaryota, Metazoa, Chordata, Actinopteri, Spariformes, Sparidae. The record is from RefSeq and is a predicted model, not a curated record. The transcript has 3 exons.
GGUUUGAGCUCAGUGAUGUCGAUCCACUGGCAGUCGAUGUCGUGUCUGAAAUCUGAGAGAUAUAGAACCAAGACAAAGAGCUGAAAGACGACAGAAUCCUCCUCAGAUCUGAGAGAAACUUCAGAUUCUUCUUUAACAUCUUCAGUCAUUCUGAUGUUUCUCACUUGAGGCUGAAGUUUGUGAGCGGAUGAGAAAGUGAAAGGAUUUCAUUAACUCGCUGAAGGGCGUUUCAUCACCGGACUGAAAAUCUGCAGGUGAAUUUCUCGACCGGCUGCUCCAGAAACACAUGAAACGCCGUUUUAAUCAUCUUAUAAUUAAUUAAUUCAUCAAGCGAAGUUAUUAAACUUAUCAGACUGCUUCAUCUUGACGGCAUGAAACCAGACAAGGGCAGUGGCAUCAGCCGGCUGCAUAAUUAAUACUUAAAGCGAAAAGGUUGGCGAACAGCUGGAGAGUUCACAGUCUUCCAUGUGAUCUUGAACAAACCGAGGUUAAUGACGCUCUUUCAGGCCUGCUGGGCCGCUAAUCUCUUCCUCCACAUUUAUUACUCGCCCUUAUUAUGGAUUUAAUGAGCCUCAUUUGCUGAACGACAUCCUAUCCUUGUGUCUCACGUCUGAGGUGUACCUGAAGAAAACAGGUUAGCGGAGGAAAGGCAGCGUUUGUUUUUCAUUCCGGGGCCGCUGAGUGGGAAGCUCCGGACUGGAAGACAUCCAGCACUCGUGUUUCUGAGCCGCAGCCAGAGGACCGACUCUGCUUAUCUCCUCAAAUGCAAUUGAAAAACUCGGCCUUGAUGCAGAUCUGUACUGAACAAACUGGUCCUGAGGCUCCGAAUCUAAAUGUGGUUUAGUUUCUGCUCAGGUUGUGUUUUCCAGCACUUUUAAUAAACUUGACUUUACAACUACUUGUUGAUUUAAUGAAUAACAUCUUUGUCUAAUGUCUUUGAAUA